GGAUGGUUAGCUCAGUUGGGAGAGCACCGCCCUUACAAGGCGGGGGUCACUGGUUCAAGCCCAGUACCAUCCA
Idiomarina xiamenensis 10-D-4 is the source of this 73-nucleotide transfer RNA. It matches the Rfam family "tRNA". From Rfam's summary of the family: Transfer RNA (tRNA) molecules are approximately 80 nucleotides in length. Their secondary structure includes four short double-helical elements and three loops (D, anti-codon, and T loops). Lineage: Bacteria; Pseudomonadati; Pseudomonadota; Gammaproteobacteria; Alteromonadales; Idiomarinaceae. The record is from Rfam.